UACGGAGGGUGCAAGCGUUAUCCGGAUUCACUGGGUUUAAAGGGUGCGUAGGUGGGCUGGUAAGUCCGUGGUGAAAUCUCCGAGCUUAACUCGGAAACUGCCGUGGAUACUAUCAGUCUUGAAUAUCGUGGAGGUAAGCGGAAUAUGUCAUGUAGCGGUGAAAUGCUUAGAUAUGACAUAGAACACCGAUAGCGGAGGCAGCUUGCUACGCGAUUAUUGACGCUGAGGCACGAAAGCGUGGGGAUCAAACAGG
Molecule: ribosomal RNA, 253 nt
Filed under: uncultured bacterium
Lineage: Bacteria
Description: partial 16S ribosomal RNA
Rfam family: Bacterial small subunit ribosomal RNA
Source: RNAcentral